AUUUAUUUAUAACCUUUCUGUUCUGAUUACAUUUGGACCUUUGCGUUUCUGUUUUUAUUGAAAUCAUUUUGUGAGCUUUUGAAUAUGUGUGUGUUUCUUUUGGUAUCUAUUGCAUACUGAUUCUGAAACCCAUUUUCAUUUUUAUGUUCUUCGUCUGCAUCUUUGAUUUGUUCCCUGUUAACCAUUUUCAAACAAUACUCAUGGUGAAGUCAUAAAGAAGUCAAAUUUGUAGUGUACUGAAACUUAUAUAAAGACUCUUAACUCUGCGUUUCUCAAAUAUAGGGACUAGCCAUGACAGAGGACAAUGAAAGCAGGCCUCCAAUUAAAGCAUUGAACUUCUCUUCAUUAAUUGAUUUACCUAACCCUAAAAUUUCCAAGUGCAUAUUUGAGGCUUUUUUGUUUGUUUGUUUUUAUGCAGUUUGAGAGUAUUUGGCUUUGCUGGGAUUGUUAAGGUUGUCAUUCUUCUUCCAAUAAAUUAUCUGGGGAGCCAGCUCUCCUUCAGUUUUUCAAAUGUCAAUGAUGGCUCAAAAUGGUAAUUGUGUGGUUCGGAAUGUCAUCUGUAGGUGUUGUUGAUUGAAACUUGUGGAAACAAAACAAAGAUCUUCCAUCAUAUGGUAUUGCGGGAUCGUUAGUUGUAGGUAGAAGGAAGUUUUUUAUUAGGAUUGCUGUCGAUUGCCUAAGAACUAUGUCAGAUGUAUCUUUUUUUCAGCAAGCUCAAAGCCAGAAAUACUUGGAGCGCAUCCUUUACACAUGGCUAAAUACUAUACCUGUCCUCCUAUUUUUGGAUUUCUUAUGUGUUCAUGUCAGGAACAGAGAAAUAUUCACACACACACACACACACACACACACACAUUUCAAAGAAGACAAAAUUUGAUGUUUAUCAAAACAGAUAGUCACAAGCGUGAUUAAUUUAAUUGUGUUUCAAUUCUGUUAAACGUGCAAUGUUGUCUCCCUAGGCUAGGUUCCUUCUAUAUACGGACAUUAAGCUUAGAGGAUCUGGUUAUUUUGUGAUUGCUCACUCGCAAAAUUUACCUGGAUAUACUCCACCUGUAAGUCCUUGCCUAAUACCCUUGUAUCAUUUAAGUUUUUCAGUG
Long non-coding RNA from Prunus persica (peach), 1094 nucleotides. RefSeq lists it as uncharacterized. The record is from RefSeq and is a predicted model, not a curated record. The transcript is spliced from 2 exons. Lineage: Eukaryota; Viridiplantae; Streptophyta; Magnoliopsida; Rosales; Rosaceae.